RNAcentral lists this ribosomal RNA (433 nucleotides) under uncultured bacterium. RNAcentral describes it as "partial 16S ribosomal RNA". It matches the Rfam family "Bacterial small subunit ribosomal RNA", at positions 29 to 507 of the family's 1533-position model. The record is from RNAcentral.
AACGAACGCUGGCGGCAUGCCUAACACAUGCAAGUCGAACGAGACCUUCGGGUCUUGUGGCGCACGGGUGCGUAACGCGUGGGAACCUGCCCUUAGGUUCGGAAUAACUCCCCGAAAGGGGUGCUAAUACCGGAUAAUGUCUUCGGACCAAAGAUUUAUCGCCUUUGGAUGGGCCCGCGUUGGAUUAGCUUGUUGGUAGGGUAAAAGCCUACCAAGGCGACGAUCCAUAGCUGGUCUGAGAGGAUGAUCAGCCACACUGGGACUGAGACACGGCCGAGACUCCUACGGGAGGCAGCAGUGGGGAAUAUUGGACAAUGGGAGAAAGCCUGAACCAGCAAUGCCGCGUGAGUGAUGAAGGCCUUAGGGUAGUAAAGCUCUUUUACCCGGGAAGAUAAUGACAGUACCGGGAGAAUAAGCUACGGCUAACUCCGUG